UACGGAGGGGGCUAGCGUUGUUCGGAAUUACUGGGCGUAAAGCGCACGUAGGCGGCUUUGUAAGUUAGAGGUGAAAGCCCAGGGCUUAACCCUGGAAUUGCCUUUAAGACUGCAUCGCUAGAAUCGUGGAGAGGUGAGUGGAAUCCGAGUGUAGAGGUGAAAUUCGUAGAUAUUCGGAAGAACACCAGUGGCGAAGGCGGCUCACUGGCCCGGUACUGACGCUGAUGUGCGAAAGCGUGGGGAGCAAACAGG
This 252-nucleotide ribosomal RNA is filed under the name uncultured bacterium. RNAcentral describes it as "partial 16S ribosomal RNA". It matches the Rfam family "Bacterial small subunit ribosomal RNA", at positions 524 to 776 of the family's 1533-position model. The record is from RNAcentral.